Molecule: ribosomal RNA, 253 nt
Filed under: uncultured bacterium
Lineage: Bacteria
Description: partial 16S ribosomal RNA
Rfam family: Bacterial small subunit ribosomal RNA
Source: RNAcentral
UACGUAGGGUGCGAGCGUUGUCCGGAAUUACUGGGCGUAAAGAGCUCGUAGGUGGUUUGUCGCGUUGUCCGUGAAAACUCACAACUCAAUUGUGGGCGUGCGGGCGAUACGGGCAGACUGGAGUACUGCAGGGGAGACUGGAAUUCCUGGUGUAGCGGUGGAAUGCGCAGAUAUCAGGAGGAACACCGGUGGCGAAGGCGGCCUGCUGGGCAGUGGCUGACACUGAGGCGCGACAGCGUGGGGAGCAAACAGG